CCCGGUCCCCUGUGCGCCAGAGUACGACAGUCGACGCCGGCCGUCCCGAGCGUGCAGUCGUGGGAGCUGUCGUCGUCUUCGUCGUCGUCGUCGACGAUCUCGCGCGUGAUCGUGUUUUCUCUUUCGAACCGAGGAUCACCAACCUUAUCACCUUGCCGUCUCGAGGUCGUGCUCGUAUCGUGUCGCAUUUUUCACGAUCCCUCGUCGAAUGAAUAAAUAAAUAAUUGAAUAGAUCGAGGAGGGAGGAAGUUUGGAUCGCCGUUGGAUCGAUGACAACGCGUGUCGCGUAUCGGUUUCGUGAUGGUUGCGCGUGAUCUGUGACUGGUAUUAGGAUGAGGGACGUGAUCUUCUAUAAAAUCUUGACCUAGAGGGGAACAAGUGCGGUCGAAGCACGGUGGAAUCGGAUCAUCGGAUCGAAUCGUGUGAGCUGGCCGAUAUUGAUGAUCCGCGUUUCGAUGGAAGGUGGUGGUCCGGAAGGGUCUUAUGGAGAACGUUCCCGGUGGAUGCUGAUCGACGGUGUUGCCGAUAAGUCGGUUUUAGAUCCGAGCGGGCGUGCGUGCGCGGAGGGGGGGCGACGUUUCUGUGGAUCGUUUCGCGAGUGGAAGGACGACCUUGAGAGUUCGGGGGAGGAGAGGAGGGACUCUGUUGGUGUGUCUGUUCGUUGCGGAUGCGGAUCUUACGCGGGUCGUGAUUGUGACAACGAGUUGGCCAAUUUGCAGCCGAGAAUGCUGGUGCUUGUUAAAAGGAGGAGGGAAACGGGUUUCAAUCUUGUGACGAGGAUGGCGGCAGUCUUUGUUAUCGCGUGCCUCCUGCUGAUGGACACUCGGCCGACGUCUGCUGCCUUUAACAAUGUUACAGUCGUUUCAGUUACCACCGUCCCGGAUCCUGAGUUCGUUGAUGAAAUAGGAAAUAUCACAGUCCCAGCAGGACGUAACGUGAAAUUAGCCUGCAGUGUUAAGGAUUUGGGACCGUACAAGGUGGCUUGGAUGCUUUUCGACAAGAGUGCCAUCCUGACAGUACAAAGUCACGUUAUUACCAGGAACCCUAGGAUAUCCGUGACCCAUGAUAAGCACAGGACCUGGUUCCUACAUAUCAAAGAUGUUCGGGAGGAUGACAAGGGAAAGUACAUGUGCCAGAUUAAUACGGCAACCGCGAAAACCCAAUAUGGCUAUCUGCACGUCGUGGUGCCUCCUAAUAUAGAGGACUACCAGACCUCGUCAGACGUCAUUGUGCGAGAAGGCGCGAACGUGACGCUAACGUGCAAAGCGACAGGAAGCCCUAAACCGAGCAUAAGUUGGAAAAGAGACGAUGGCUCGAUGAUUUCAAUUAACAAGACUUAUUCCGUGAUGGAAUGGGAAGGCGAGAUGCUGGAAAUCACACGUAUCUCGAGACUGGACAUGGGCGUUUAUUUAUGCAUCGCGACAAAUGGCGUCCCUCCUACUGUUAGCAAGCAGAUCAGAGUCUCGGUUGAUUUCCCCCCUAUGCUCUGGAUACCGCACCAAUUGGUCGGUGCACCCUUGGACCAUUCAGUCACGUUGGAAUGCUACACCGAGGCUCAUCCAACUUCUUUGAAUUACUGGACCAGGGAGGAUGGCCUGAUGAUUCAGGGUAGCAACAAAUACAAGACCACCUCCACGCCGGAGAAACCCUCGUACAAGACGCAUAUGACGUUAACGAUACACGAUCUACAGGAGGAGGAUUACGGUAGCUACAAGUGCGUCGCGAAAAAUCCACGUGGAGAGACAGACGGCACCAUUCGCCUGUACAGUCCACGCUUCCUCACGGUUGAAUUAAUUGCGGCCCACGGACGCUGGUUCGUUAGUGCUGUGGAAAGUAAAUUCGUUAAAUAUCUCGUUCUCGCGGGGUACGUUGUUGCGCCGCCGCAAAAUACGGGCAACACCGGUAUUCUUCGUCCCAGCUUCGUGAAAAAAUGUUGGAUUAAAGUGUACUGGACGGAAAGAUACUCGUGGAAACUUUGUAAUUAUUGCUUUUUUUUCUUCUUUUUUGUUUUUUUCUUUUGGUUAUUACAGAUAUCGGUAAUUUUAACGGCGAUAAGAGAUGAUGAUAAAUCUCGAAUGACGAAUGAAUUUUCUCUGCGUUUGAUAUUUGAAGAAUUGAUAUAUAUUGUUAAAUAUUGGAGGACUUAAGAAGAAAUUUUGAAUAGCGAUAAAUUAUUAAUUUUUUAUUUGAAGUUUUGGAGAAAAUUAAUUAUAGAAAAGUUGAUAUUAUGAUUGGAUUGAAGAUAAGUUAUUAAUCUAAAACAAUAUUUGAUCAUUUAUUGUGUUUUUCUAUUCUCUAGAUAUAAAUAGUGAGAAAUGGAUUGUAAAAUUUUAUUUAUCGUUAAUUUAACUUUUUAUAUAUUAUUGUAAAUUCGUUAAUAUUCACAAACGGUGGUUCAAUAUUUGCAAUGAAAUUUUGUUUUCAUUAAUAUUAAACGAUGAAUUAAUUAAAGGUAGGUUUAUUACGAUCAUGAUUAUGCGAUUACUUAUUAGAUAACACGAUAAUUAAUCAUACAUAUGUAUUCUGUUAAAAUAAUUUCAACAGCAAUAGCCAGUUAAUAGCCUCUGUUUAUCAAAAAUCAUUUAAAAAUUGAACUAAUGGAAAAUAUAACAUUAAUAUUGCAACGAAUAUUUUGAAAUUUUAUUUUUUAUCGGAAAAGCAGAAAGAAUAAAUUUUUAUAUUUUUCAAAUGUUUCGAAUUGCUAUGAAAUACUUUAAAUAAAAAAUACUAAUUAGGAAAUAGAUAUAACUUAUUGAAACAAAACUCUUUCAUUCAACACUUCCUAUUAUUUUCUAAUUAUUUAAAUAUUUUUGUAGAAUAAGACUUACUUUUAACUAAACUAACAUAUUAAUAAAUUAUUUCCUAUCGUGGAAAAAUUGAACGAGUAAAUGAAAUAAAAAUUAAAAAACAAAAAUAACUGAUGGCGAUAAUUUAAGAUCGCUAAAAUCCAGGAAGGAAAAGAAAAUAAUGGUCGUAGGAAAUUUGACAAAAUGGAAUAAACAAAACUACGAAAGGAAUACGCUCGUACCACCGGCUCAAUAAAGAUCAAUCCAAACAAAGCUCGAAGAGAGUCGGAACAACCGUUCCAGAAAGCGGUUUCGAUUUACAACCACUGAACUUCGUGCAUCGCUACUAACCGAUAAACCAGCGCCGAAACGGCUACGGGACUGCUGUAAAUCCACUAAACCAUUGUCUCGAAUAUCGAAGGAAGAGAAAGGCCGUGGAAGGAAGGAAAGACCGAAAUCACGAAGAAACCAUCGAAAGUACAUAAAACGUCAAACUAUUACGAGUGAAAAUAAUCUUCCAUUAACCUUCCAUCGUUGACCAUUUAAAAUUUUGCUCUAACUUAAACGUUAAAGAAAGAAUGAAAAGUUAAUAAAACUUUUAGGGUUGAUUUCAUACUUUCAAAGUGAUACAGCAUAUAAAAAUUUAUUGGUUCAGAAAUGGGAUCGAGAUGAAUGGAUUGAAAUUGAAAAUAGACAGAUGAUCAAACAAGAAAUUACAAAUUCUUUUUACAAUAUAGCUUUAAAUGAAAUUUAUCAUUUGUUGUCAUAAUCUUUUUAAUAUUCAUCACGAUUAGACUGUAAAAAAAAAUUCCAAAUUUCACAGGAUCUAUUUAACAUUAAUGAAUAAAUGGAAGUUUUAUUUAUAUAUUCCAUUUUAUUAAGAUAUAUUCGUAAAAAAUAUUAAUUAUCAUUGAACAUCAUCAUAAACACUUUCAACUAACUUCAAUGAUUAAUUUUUUACCAAGAACAAAUUCUUUUCACAAUUUUCUACAAACAUCUCCACCUUAUGCUGAAAAUCUUAAUAACUCCCAAGUCCAAGUACCUGCCUGGCGGCCGCAAAAAUAAAAGACCGCCCCCCAUUUAAGGGCGAAAAGAAAACGGAAACAACACGGAAUGGGGGCGGUGCGCGCGUGGCAUGGUACAAAAACCUCGGCUCAUCCCUCCCGGGUAAAGCAUCGAGAGCAGCUCAUUAAAGCCAGAAGGAUCGUAUCUAUCCGGUCUAAUUAAAAGCCACUCAAACACGGGGGAAGGGGAGGGGAGCGAUCAACCGCGACGUUUAUUGGCGCGAGAGCUCAAUCACGAAAGGGUCGACGAGGACGGAUGAGCUCGAGUCGCUUCUGGCACGCAUCCACGUCUCUUCCCACGUGUCCCGUGAGACUUCUUCGACCUUCCAUCCUCGACUUGUCUGCGUCACACUUGGAUGGAAUGGAUGGUGAUAAAGAAGAGUGCAAAGAGAGUUGUCGAAAAGAGAAAGGACGAGUUUGGUUGAACGAUUAGUAAUAAAAUAGAAAAGGAAGAAGGAGAUUGAGGUUAAAGAAGAUAAAAGAAGAGAGGAAUGUUUAGCAGAGUGAAAAGUGUUAAAGAAAGAGUAUUCAAGUGAAUUCCUUAAAAGUUAUUAAAAGUAGAGAAAUAUAGGGGAAAAAGAUAGGGAAGAACUUUUUUCAUUUUUAACUAAAGUACAGAUAAAUAGUGUGUUAUCAAGAAUAUACAUAUACAAAAAGGAAGAAAGAAAUAAAAAGAUAAAAUUAAUGAAAACUAGAAAGGAUAAGAAAAAGAAGGAAAUGGAGUAGAAAAAAAUGUACUACAAUUACAUGUACAAUUAGUGUUAAAAAAAAGGAGCAAAAUAUACCAAAGUUUAUGUUGGAUAAAUUAAAAAAGUAAAAUGAAAAGAUAAGAUGGAAAGAGAGAAGGAUACAAAAGAAUAAAGAAUAGAUUAGAAGGAAAACGAAAACACAAAGGAUAGAAAGGCGAGGAAUCACUUGUAUAAUUCAUGGUACCACUCUAAGUGGUUAGUGAUCCACGUUUCAGUGCUCCCUGACCCCUCCAGGUUCCAGUAGAGCUUGUACCAUAGCUCUACGGCAUCUCAAUGCUGACCGACCGACAGAUUAGCCCCAGGAAAUUGCCAAACUUCUCGUCGCUCCGGUGGAAAAGUCGAUUCCAAAAGUCGUUCCUCAAGCGGCCAGUUUCAACCUCCGCAGACUUUCUAUUUGGUUUCCUCAAGACGGCCAACGAUGGGACACCAGAAACUGUCUCUUAAAUUAAUGCUUCCUGAAACGAUCUCUUUUCUUCUAGUUUUUCUUUCUAUUACCAUUUGCUUUAUUCUAUUUUUUGUUUCUAUUUUAUUUUUUUUUAGUUUUUAUAUUGAUUGUAGAAAAUAUACGAAAUAUAUUUAUCGAUAUUGUGAUAAUUAAAUUAAUUAAUUAUAUUAUAUAAUUUUAUAUAUAUAUAUAUAUAUAUAUAUAUAUAUAUAUAUAUAUAUAUAUAACUUUAUAUAAGAAAAAUUAUUAUUUGCCAAUUUUAUUUCAUUGAAAUACAUAUAAUAUAAAAUGUGUGAAGAAAUAUUGAAAAUUAUUUGUUCAACGAAAAAUUUAAAAAAAUCGUUUAAAUUGAAUUUAGAUUUCGUAAAAAUUAAAACUUGCAGAUAAAAAAAAUGGUAAAAAGAAAGUUUCUACUACACGAGAAAAAUAAUUGUUUCUCUUUCUUUUUUUUCCCCCAUCAAUUAAUCGGAUCGAUAAAUCUUUAAAUAAAUCGUUUUUAAAAGAAGAAAUUGGAAAAAUCAUAUUAGAAGAUUAUCUAUCGGACAAACGAACAAAUAAAGAAAAUAAAAAGAAUAUAAUAUCCUUUCAUGAAAAGUUAAGUUAAUAAUUUUUAAUAAAAUAAUUAAUCUCUUCUUUAUUUACAGAUUAUAAUAAUUUUACUUUUUUGCAGUUUACAAUCAAUCCUUGCUUUCCACAAUUUUUAGAAAUUUUCAAAUCUCGACCAGGGCGUUCCAUUCUUAUUAAAAAAACGAAAUCCAAAUCAUCCUGCAAUUCGGGGCGAGCAAACAAUAACGGAUUUCGAAUUUUGGCGAGUCUAUUAAAUCGGAAGCUCCAUUGUCGUUUCCUCGAAGGCGUCGUGGCUGAGGAUCUUAUGGAAAUAUUUUCUCCACCCAUCUCGUGAAGAUCUUUUUAACGGGACGCUUCCGCACCCCCUUUAAUCGUAUUACCGAACGUACAGACAUAUUUCCAUUCCUGGAGCUGCUCAGUGCCAAUUGGACCAGCCACGACUUUUCGAAAUUUCUUUUUUUCUCUCUCUCUUUCUCUCUUUCUCUCGAAUUCGCCUUUCUUUCUUUCGUUUUCCCAUUCGUCGUCUUACCUCGACUUUAACUUCAGUAUUUCGACGAAGAAUGAGAGGAUUAUAUUGGCAAGCCUUCCUCGUAUUGGCUUUCGUGUUUUCUUAGAAUUAAGAAUGGAAUGUUUAUGGUAAUUGUUGAAUAUCGAAUCGCGAUGUAUAAGUAAGGUCUUUUUUUUUGUUGAGAUGAAUAAAAGAAGGGAAAUAUUAAAUGAUGGAACAUCGAAUUGCGAUAAUUCUUAAUUGCGUUAAGUUUUCUUAAUGAAAAAAAAAUUCAGAGAAAAAAAUGGCAGAAAAAAAUAAUAGAAUUAAAAAUUAUUCGAGAGAGAGGCAAAUUCGAAAGAUAUAAUUUUUUAUGUGAAAGUCUUUGUGGUAUCGUUAAAAAGAUUUCAAGAAAAUUUAAUUUUUGUAAUGGAAACUACGUAACAUAAUUAAAAAACGUAAUUAGAAACUGGACAUAAAAACUGCAUGUGCUAAAUAAAAAUUUUUUGGUUAGUCAAUUGGUAAUUUAUAAAUUAAAUUAAUAUCACAGAAAUAUCAAACAUUUAAUUUCGUUUUUUUUUAUUUUGUAUUUAAAUACUUCAUUUUAUUACGAAAAUAUAAAGAUAUUUUUCUAUAACGAAAUAAUUUUCCUACAUAGAAUUCUCAAAAGCUAUUUUUUUUCUGAGUAAAUUUAAAUAUAUAUAUUUUACGUAUUCUUUUAUUGUUAUCUCUAAAAUUUCAAACAAAUUUUUAAAAUUUAUCUUAAAACAUUUUUAUUUCGUACAAAUUGGUUUUCAUCUUAUUUGAAAUAAUAAAUUAUCUUUCAUUCGAUAAUAAAAAAAUUCAAUCCUAUUCUAUAAGAAGAUCCAGAUUCAUAAAAUCAGAAUCUUCUUCAAAACUAAUUUCUCGUAGUACGUAGAAUUGGUAAGAGGAAACGUCAAACUGAGCAACAUUUCCUCUUUAACAUGCGCGCAUUGAGGGGUGGAACGAACCAUGAUUCAACCCGAGGCGUAUCCAAAGCUAAACAACCAGCCGGUGUUUCCUCGACAUGUCGAGUUUCCUAUAACACCACGGAAUUAUGAAUCCAAAUUCGUUGCGCAAACUCGGUUCGCGUGGAAACAAUGCAACUGUACACAAAUCUGCCAUUCACUGUCAAAGAUCUUGAUCCACGUGAAGAUUUUAUCGAAUUAUUACAUAGUUGUUCCAUUCCCUCGUUUCUUGUUUUCUCUAUUUGUCAAAAAUGUAAAAUAUUAUUUGAGAAAGUUGUCAGAGAUGCACUUGAUAGACAGACUGUUCUGUUAUUUGAUUAUCACAUCUCUUUAAGAAAUUGAAAUAUUUCAUAUAAGAUUUUUAAAAAUUUUUUAAUAAUGUUCUUUUAAAACUAAUAAAAAUAUUAUUAUUAAGUUAUCUAUGAAUCUAUUAAAAAUGAUUAAUUUUUAAUAGAUUCAUGAAUGAAAUAUACAAAAAAAUUUAUCAAUAAGGUUCAAGAAAUAAAAAUAUCUAUCAUAUAAUUUACCUUAAAAUUCGAUUAAACUCUAUUAAAAUUAAGAAAAAUUUAAACCACUAUAACUCGGAAGAUAAUGACUUCCGGUCAAUGAAUGAAAGAUCAUAAGAAGCGCGGAACCUUGCCCUUUAAAAUGCUUUUUCAUUUAUCCCGAUACGACUUCCGGUUCCCGAGAUAUCAUCGUGUAAAGAGAAAGGUAAUUUUUUAAUCGUUUACUAUCUGCAUCCUUGUUCCGUACUCGGACCUCUCGUUCGCUCCUCGUCUCACUGACCUAUCCCAAAUUCCAGACAAGUGGCAGACGCGAUUCCUAGAAAAACGUAGUAAGCAUUUCCAGGAAAUAAUGUAGGUCACGGUUUCAUUCAUAAUCCCUGCACCGUCUUAAGCGCUAUGGACAUUUUGACUCUUUAUAUCUCGGCAACCGUUUGAGAUAUCGAGAUAAAACAAAAAAGGAUUUCAAUGGCACGCUUUUCUCUAUUUUUCCAAUAAGUUUCAAUGACAAAAUUUUCAAUUUUUUUUCACAUUUCUUACAUGAAAAUUCGAAGAUUUAUUUCAUUAAAUAAAUGUGAUAGUCUCUCAUUUUUAAAUAACAUAGAGAAAAUUGAACGUAGCAUUGAUUAUUACCAUUUUUUUGACUUUUAUUCGUCUUCCUUAUUAAGUUACGAUACCACUAACCAAAUUCAUUGCAGUGAAUCUUGAAGCCGAAAAGCAUACGAUCAGGAACGAUCGACGAAAAUUACAAAACGAGUAAUCGUUAAGGGCUAUUACGGGGGAUAAAGCGACUCUCGUAGAUGGCGCGCGUAUCGAAACGUGCAGGAGGAAUGGCGCAAUUAUAAGAAUUGCCGGUACAAAGAGCAAUUCAGACGAGGGCAAAGACGAAUAAAAUUUCUUCUCUCGCGACGCGAAAAGAAGAAAGGCCGUAAGUUAACGCACGAACGAACGGCUACGAAAUGGGAGUCAAACGAUCGUUUGAACUCGUACGAAACAACAAUUACGAGACAGUCAACGUUGUAUGUUCUCCGUCUAGAUAUUUCGUUGUUAUUCAACAUUUUCUCAUGAAAUUUUAUCAUUUAUAGAUACGUCGCAACUAAUAUUGCUCUAACAUUAUCUAUGAUAUAAUGUUGGCAUAGUCAAUUUAAAAAUGUGUUCUUAUUGAAGCAACGAGCAAAUUUUUGUUGACUAAUUAUCGUCACGAUGAGAAAGUAAAAAUCAGUAAUCAAUUUAUUAAUUAUUUAAUUAUGGUAUAUUAAUGGAAUCUUGCAUUGCAUCGAGAGAAUACUUAAUUUUAUUUUAUUAUAUCGCAAAAUAGUUACAAAUAUAAAAUAAAUUUACAUUUACAUGUACAAUACGAAAAAAUCGUAAGUAAAAUAGAAUUUCUUCAUUUUUUAUUUUUAAUUUAUUAGAAAUAUAUUCAAAGGGAAAAUGAGUAAGGAAGUAGAAUGAAGGAUAAAAGUAUUUCAAUUUUUUUUGUGGUAAUUGAACAUUUUUAUUUUUAUUUUAUUUUUUGAACGAAAUAUUAUAUUUUCCAUUUUUCUUUUCAUUUCUAUAGUUACAAAAUCUUUGAUAUGAUAUAGCAAAUUUUUUUAAAAGAAAGUUUCUUAUAGUUGUACAGUUUAUUUGAUAUUCGAACCUCAGAGUGCAUACAUGGCGUCAAGUAAUCAGAACGAGUAAUUAUUUCAACAUGAAUUAUAACUUGUUACGAACGUUUUGAAUCUGAAUUUUUAACAUCUAAUUUAUUAGUAAUUAAUUUGUUAUAUUUCCUGUUACAUCCAUACGGUUUGUAUAAAUUUUUUACCAUAUUUCAUUAUUAUAAACAGCUUCAAAUAAAUAAAAAAAUAAUAUAUUUUGUAUUUUGUGACAGAUGGAUUGAUCAAGUGAUAAUUUUCUAUAUGAUAUAGUAAUGCAAAUAUAUCAUAAUUUUAAUAUACAAAUAUAAUAAAUGUUAAACGAUAGAAAAAUGAAAUUACAAGAAAUUUUUAAUAUGAAAUUAAUAAUGGAUAGAUACCAUGCAUUCAAAUUAAUUAAUUUCAUUUUACUGACUCUUUGUAUCUUUUUUUUUAGAUCUCUCCCGAGAUAAACUGUUAUUUUUCUAUUUAUUAGCGCUGAUUUUCAUUGGAAAAUUUUGAGAGACUUUCGUGUAUCUUUUAAUAGGAUAUUUUUUAAACAUUUGAAACAAAAAAUUAUAUUUUUGGAAGAGAGCGAAAUUUCAUAAGAUACAAUAUAAAGAGCCUUCCAAAAUAGAAAACAGAGUAUAUAAUUAGAAAUGAAAUAAUGAAAAAAUAGCAAAUAAUAUUUCCUGUCAAUGUGUCAGAGUAAAAAAGUAAGUAUGUAAAACAGGUAAGCAGAUAAUUUUUUUUUUGUAGUUACAAAAGAUACAUCGCAAAAAGUGUAUAAAAGGUAAGUAUAAAAUAUAGUAGUUAGUUAUUAUAAUUAAAAUUAAGUAAAAUGAUGAAAAAAUGAAAAAUUUUCUACCAAUGCAUCAACUUAAACAGGUAAGUAUAAAAGGUAAGUAUCAGGUAAGUAUGAGGUAAGUAUUAGUUUCAAAAAUUUUUAUAUAUUACUUCUAUUUUCCUAAUAAAAAAUCAUAAAUCAAGACAAAAAUUUUUUAGAAUUCGACUUUAUAUUAGGAGAACAUAAAUAAAAGGAGUUUUUAUACAGGAUUUAUAAAAGAGAAUGUUGUUUUUUUAAAUGAAACUACAUUUUGACUUUGUUGAACGUAUACAAUCAACGGCAGCAAAGAGUGAUUUCAAUAUUCAUUGGUGUUAUGAGAAUUUCAUUCAAUAUCGAUUAAUGAAAAAAGCUAGAGAUGUUAGAGAACAAUUAGUUGAUCUCAUGCAACGAGUUGAGAUGGAACUCGUAUCAGGAAUUAUGGAAUCAAUAAAUAUCCGAAAGAAUAAUAAAUAUCAUCAUCUUUUUUCAUUUUUUUAAAAACUAAUUUAUUUUUAUUUUUAAGAAUAACAUAAAAAAAAUAAGAGAAACGAACUUAAAAAAUUGAAUUGAUUGAAUUUUAGGCUAUAACAUUAAAAUAUUUCUAUCAUGUAGCACGAUUAUCAAAAGGGGGACAAUACAACUGCAAAAUAAUCAGAUAGAUACAAUUCAUCCUAAUAACUCAUUGUUUGAAGAGCUGCCACGUUGCACUAUCAUGAACUGAUUUUUAUUAUUUAUAUACAAAAGAAUUUAUGCGACAGAUAACAGCAAUCGAGAGUUAAGUGGCUUUUAGAGAUAGCUGCCCAUUAUUACAAAGCAAAAGAAUUGGAGGAGGAUUCUACAAAUAAAACAAAAGGCCAAACAUCGUAGGAAGAUCGUGUCCAGACAGAACUAAUUAAUAACUCAAAUAGAUUAUAAGUAGUAUAAUAUAUAGCAUAUAGUAUAGAUUAUAGAUUAUAGUUUAUAGAAAUAAAUUGUAACCAUAACUUUUGUAACUAGUUUUUAAGAUGUAUAAAAUAUAAAGAUAAGAUAUUUGUAUUUUAUAAUGUACAAAACACAAUAUAUCAUACACACAUUUGUAACCAAUUAA
This is an RNA transcript of Apis cerana (Asiatic honeybee), 11116 nucleotides long. It is a transcript of the gene named lachesin, with no coding region annotated. The record is from RefSeq and is a predicted model, not a curated record. NCBI's taxonomy places the organism in Eukaryota, Metazoa, Arthropoda, Insecta, Hymenoptera, Apidae.